UACGUAGGGGGCAAGCGUUGUCCGGAAUUAUUGGGCGUAAAGCGCGCGCAGGCGGUUCAUUAAGUUGGGUGUCAAAGGCAAUGGCUCAACCAUUGUACGCACCCAAAACUGGUGAACUUGAGUGCAGGAGAGGGGAGUGGAAUUCCCGGUGUAGCGGUGGAAUGCGUAGAGAUCGGGAGGAACACCAGUGGCGAAGGCGACUCUCUGGCCUGUAACUGACGCUGAGGCGCGAAAGCGUGGGGAGCAAACAGG
This 252-nucleotide ribosomal RNA is filed under the name uncultured bacterium. Its description in RNAcentral is "partial 16S ribosomal RNA". It matches the Rfam family "Bacterial small subunit ribosomal RNA", at positions 524 to 776 of the family's 1533-position model. The record is from RNAcentral.